UACGGAGGGUGCAAGCGUUAUCCGGAUUCACUGGGUUUAAAGGGUGCGUAGGUGGGCAGGUAAGUCAGUGGUGAAAUCUCCGGGCUCAACCCGGAAACUGCCAUUGAUACUAUCAGUCUUGAAUAUCGUGGAGGUAAGCGGAAUAUGUCAUGUAGCGGUGAAAUGCUUAGAUAUGACAUAGAACACCAAUUGCGAAGGCAGCUGGCUACACGAAUAUUGACACUGAGGCACGAAAGCGUGGGGAUCAAACAGG
Molecule: ribosomal RNA, 253 nt
Filed under: uncultured bacterium
Lineage: Bacteria
Description: partial 16S ribosomal RNA
Rfam family: Bacterial small subunit ribosomal RNA
Source: RNAcentral